Molecule: non-coding RNA, 2396 nt
Organism: Vicugna pacos (alpaca)
Lineage: Eukaryota; Metazoa; Chordata; Mammalia; Artiodactyla; Camelidae
Source: RefSeq, a predicted model, not a curated record
GACAGGCAGGGAUAUUGGUCAGGGGCCUAUGCCAGGCGGAAGUGAGCAUUCUCGGCUUCAGCCCUUCCUUGCCCGGCCUCCUCCUCGGGACCCGGACCCUCCUGCACGGGACGUGGACUCCGAGCAGAAUUUGUUCCCGGGUGGGCGGCCCGCCCGCAGCUCGGCCUCCUCUCCUUGUCCUCCUCCUGGGCCGGAAGCCCUGACUCAGUUUCCCCGCGGGGCAAGGAGAGGGCAGAAGCCGAGAACCCACGUUUCCACCCUGUUAAGUGAAGUCAUCUCCGCCCGCGCCCAUCUCUCAAGGAGAGGCGCUGCAGAGGCGCAAGUCGCCCAAUCAGGGGGGCCGGGGCCGAUAGCUCUAUCCUGAGGCUCCAAAGGCGGUGCCCGAAGCACUGUCCAAUCGGAGUGCGGGCCUCUGGAAACGAUCCAAUCUCAAUUCCUGUGAAAGGAGUGCCUGGAGAACUGCCCAAUCAGGGCGCGGGGAUCCGGAGCACAGUCCAAUCAGGGCCAGGGGCGGGCCCGCUCCCAGCCCGUGUGAACGUCACUCUCGACCGGCGGUGGCGCUCGUGCGCAGCUUCCCCGAGCGGCACCAGGUGUACCGGCUCCGUCGCUCUCACCUGUCCGGGCCGCCGGGGGGACGUCCGGGAAGCUCUGGCGCGGGGCGGAGAUGGUGGACUUUCCAGUUCAUGAUGGAUUGGAGUUUUUCAAGGAAACUUAUCCAUCUCAGGGCCUGGGUUGAAGGUGGGACAUAACCAGGCCUCUUGAGAAUCAAAUUGUUGUUGAGGGAAAAGCAGGAAGUACUCCCAGACCCUCACUGUGUUUUCAUCCAUUACAAGCUCAUCCACGUCUGACCUUGGCUUCUUCAUACCGUGCUGAGGCCUGUAGUGGGCCGUGAAGGAGGAGACAAAAAUUGUUUUCAUGAAAAGGAACUGAUGUUUUCAAAACCAAAAUAAUUGCUUUAUUUGUAUAAUAUUUCUUUAAUUUUCUCCAAUGUGUGGACUGUUCUGGACCCUUCAGAUGGAGGAGAUGAAUGGAAGUGGCCAGAGUCACACUUAGAAGAGUUCACCGAGAUGCUGACAAAUCUAAGGUGCAGGCUGGCGGCCCUGAGGAAACUGGCGCUGACCGAGGGGAGAGACGUGGUGACAGAGCCCUGGGGUUGGUGGGAGACCACAGGCCCAUGCGGGAACUUGCUCUGAACUGAGUCCCAGUUCCCCGGUGCCGUCAGCCCGCCUCCCUCCUGCGCGCGCGUGGAGAAUGGUACUGUGUUAAGCCAGAACUUGCUGGGUGUUUCAGGGCUCAGAGGUCUUGGAGGAUGUGGCUGUGGCCUUCAGCCCAGAGGAGUGGGCUUUGCUGGAUGUGGCUCAGAGGAGCCUCUACAGAGAUGUCAUGCUGGAGACCUUCAGGAACCUGGCCUCCGUAGGUGAGGGGCACCGAUCCUUCACGUCCUCUGCAGAGCGCAAGUAUCCCCAAGCUGCUGAGCGGGUUUCAGGACUUGGGCUGAACGGUGGGAACCUACUGCUGAGGAAGGUAGACAGGGUCACGUUACCGUGGAGCCCACAGUGGGACAGCUUUCUUGUGAGAAAACUGGGGAUGCCAUAGCACUGAAGGUCAGCGCAGGAACCAGGGACCACGUCUGUGGUGAGUGACACACACACACUGGAGGAAGCAGGUCUCAGGAGAGAGAGCUGAGACAUCAGUGUGCACGUGUGUCUGUGUGUGCAGACACGUGUCAGGCCUUCCAGUCACAGAGCUUCACAGGACAGAUGGCAUAUGGUGGAGAGGCCCCCAGAAAAUCGUGAUGGUGGCGCGCGUGGAGAAGCCAACCGGAUUGCCAGGCUUCCUGUGCAGGAGAGGCCUCCUGCGGGGGUGCAGUCCUGUGGGUACAGCAAGCUUGCAAACUCAUGGCUUCUUCAUCUGAAAAAGCCACUGUGGAUUCUUCCUUGCUUCCAGGCUCCCACAGCAUUGCCUCAGCGUGGACGAAAGCCCUAUCGAUGUAAGGAAUGUGGGAGAACUUUUAGUUGUUACUCAUCCUUCAGGGCACACAUAAGAGCUCACACUGAAGGAAAAACCCUAUGCGUGUAAAGCAUGUGGAAAAGCCUUUAUAUAUUUCUCCAAACUCAGAGUCCAUGUAAGAACUCACACUGGAGAGAAGCCUUAUGAGUGUGAGAAGUGCGGGAAACCCUUCAGAUCGCCCUCAAACCUCUGGACGCACAGAGAAACUCAUUUGGUCGAGAAACCCUAUGCUUGUAAAGAAUGUAAGAAAGCCUUCUCUUCUCUUAGAAAACACGUGAAGGUUCACGGUGCAGAGAGAGUCUAUGAAUGUAAGGAGUGUGGAAAAGCCUUCCUCCGUUCUUUUUACCUGCUCAUCCACGCAAGGAUGCACACUGGAGAGAAAGCCU